CCGACGGCCGAAAAUUAAAAAGGUGUGUGAGAAGUACAAUGGGGUGUGUGGAUAUCACACCCCGUUAAAACUAUUAUUUACUACCUCUCCUCUACUAAAUAUACAUUAAUAAUAAUAUGUAUUGAAAUUGAGUAGGCUAUAAGCAUGAGUUUACAAAAGAAUAGAUCUAUUCACAAACCCAUUUUUACUUCCAACACAUCUUUAUUAAUAUUUUGUCAGUGAUAAUUUUCAAUUCAUUCGAUCUGAACAACCGACAAUUAAGAGAAGUGUGUAAGAAGUAAAAAUAAAUGCAUGGAUAAUACUAUCCUUACAGAAAACCUCCUUGGGCUACAGCCCACCUUAACCUUGUGAAUGGCUACGCCAUUGCUACCAUCCCAUUUAAUAACAUCCAAAGUCAUUAUGUGGGUGCUAACACUAUUAAUAAGACAAAUGUCUAUUUGUUAAUAUUGUUUGAUAUAAGCCUACCAAGAAAAAACAUUUAAAUCAUACAAAGAGACAAACUUUUCACAUUCUCUCACACCCAACAAAAGUCUGAUUUAACGGAAGAAAAAUCUCACAAUGUGGACAAAUUUUUAAAAGCCAACAAAUACUUUAAAUAAACAAUCAAAUCUUUAUGUAUUGUGAGAUGUAAUAGUGGUGGUUGUUAUCAUUACAAAGU
Molecule: long non-coding RNA, 658 nt
Filed under: Malus domestica (apple)
Lineage: Eukaryota; Viridiplantae; Streptophyta; Magnoliopsida; Rosales; Rosaceae
Description: long non-coding RNA (MDOM_LNC016345)
Source: RNAcentral